Molecule: ribosomal RNA, 1068 nt
Filed under: Triticum aestivum (bread wheat)
Lineage: Eukaryota; Viridiplantae; Streptophyta; Magnoliopsida; Poales; Poaceae
Description: partial small subunit ribosomal RNA
Source: RNAcentral
AUGGAGAGGGGCUGGUCCCUGCCGUUGUUGGCGCCCCGCCAGCCCCAGAAGGCGACGCGCUUCCCCGGCGGCAGCGGGUUGUGGCCCCAGUCGGCGACGCUCUCGGAGACGACGGAGACGGAGACGCUGGAGUCGAGGCUGGCGGUGGAGCCGUUGGCCCGCAGCGUGGCCGUGGAGGACUCGAGCGACCGCGUCCGCGUCCGCGCCACCACGCUGGCCCGCCGCCGGUACAUCCAUAUGGCGAGGAACACGCACGCCGCCGCGAGCACCGCCGCGCCCACGCCCGCGGCGACCACGACGGCCACGACCUUCGCCCUAUCCGCCAUUCCCGUGCGUUCGCGCGGGGGCCAAGACCAUGCCGCGCGAACCGACCCCCGGUGCAGGCGCGGAGCGGCGACCGCGUCGGCGCGCGCUCUCCAGGCUCCUCCCGCUCCUCCUCCUCCUCCUGCCACGGAGCAGCAAAGCAACACGCGUCAGGAAUCAAUCCCGCACCCAAAAUUCUCGCGGCGCCACGUACGGACGCGUCAAGGCGCGUCACGCGCCAGGGGGUCGGAAGCGCCCCCGCGCCGGAAUUCCGGGGCCAUGAAGGCGGCCCCGCGUCGGAAUUCGGUGAUCGGGCCGCCCGGAAUAAAGGCGAUCUGUCCAAAAAGCCGGGCGGGAGGCGUGCGUCGUACCUCAGCGCCUUGCGCGCGAAGCUUCCGGCCUGCCUGCCCCCGCGCGCGCUUCGAGGCACGGGGAGGAUCGGCGGAGACGACGACGACGACGCGCGCGAGCGAGCGAGAGAGAGGUCUCCUCCUUCCCUCCUUCCUUCCUUCCUUCCCGUGCUCCGGCCGUUGCUUUCGCCGCGCGGGUUUGGUUUGGGAGAGGGAGGAGGAAUUCAGAGCCGGUGGGCGCGUGGAAAAGGCGGCUGCGCGUUUUGGAGGUGGACGCAGUCCAAGCGCUUCAUCACAGGACAAGACUGGGAGUAAUCAAUGCCUGCAUGAAGAUGGAGGGGGAGCAGUUGGUGGUUUGAUGGGAGCCGCCGGUCAUGUGCGAAUGGAUCCCGUAGGAGACACCGUCUCGUCGUGA